UGGAGGUCAAGGUCCAUGCUGGAUAUGCAGUGGAGGGUAACUGCAGGAGAAGGAAAGCUAGUGGGGGACUAGAGCAGGGGAGGAUGUGCGUCCCCGGGGCAUGCUGGAGGUCAAGGGCCAUGCUGGAUAUGCGGUGGAGCGUAACUACAAGAAAGGUAAGCUAGUGGGGGACUAGAGCAGGGGAGGAUGUGCGUCCCCGGGGCAUGCUGGAGGUCAAGGGCCAUGCUGGAUAUGCGGUGGAGGGUAACUGCGGGAGAAGGAAAGCUAGUGGGGGAGUAGAGCAGAGGAGUAUGUUGGUCCCCGGGGCCUGCUGGAGGUCCAGGUCCAUGCCCGAUGUGAGUAGCAGCAGGGCCAGCGCGCCCAGGAGCACAUCUUUUUCGACCGUAAAGGGAGACAGGAGGCCGACUCACUGCCUCGGCUAAAUGGAGAGGGAAUUUCAGAAGGGCCAGGGCACAAGCAUGGACCU
This is a long non-coding RNA of Astatotilapia calliptera (eastern happy), 466 nucleotides long. The record is from Ensembl. Lineage: Eukaryota; Metazoa; Chordata; Actinopteri; Cichliformes; Cichlidae.